CUUAUAGAUGGAUCCGCGCUGCAUUAGCUAGUUGGUAAGGUAACGGCUUACCAAGGCAACGAUGCAUAGCCGACCUGAGAGGGUGAUCGGCCACACUGGAACUGAGACACGGUCCAGACUCCUACGGGAGGCAGCAGUAGGGAAUCUUCCGCAAUGGGCGAAAGCCUGACGGAGCAACGCCGCGUGAGUGAUGAAGGUCUUCGGAUCGUAAAACUCUGUUAUUAGGGAAGAACAUAUGUGUAAGUAACUGUGCACAUCUUGACGGUACCUAAUCAGAAAGCCACGGCUAACUACGUGCCAGCAGCCGCGGUAAUACGUAGGUGGCAAGCGUUAUCCGGAAUUAUUGGGCGUAAAGCGCGCGUAGGCGGUUUCUUAAGUCUGAUGUGAAAGCCCACGGCUCAACCGUGGAGGGUCAUUGGAAACUGGAAAACUUGAGUGCAGAAGAGGAAAGUGGAAUUCCAUGUGUAGCGGUGAAAUGCGCAGAGAUAUGGAGGAACACCAGUGGCGAAGGCGACUUUCUGGUCUGUAACUGACGCUGAUGUGCGAAAGCGUGGGGAUCAAACAGGAUUAGAUACCCUGGUAGUCCACGCCGUAAACGAUGAGUGCUAAGUGUUAGGGGGUUUCCGCCCCUUAGUGCUG
Molecule: ribosomal RNA, 639 nt
Filed under: Staphylococcus aureus
Lineage: Bacteria; Bacillati; Bacillota; Bacilli; Caryophanales; Staphylococcaceae
Description: bacterial SSU rRNA
Rfam family: Bacterial small subunit ribosomal RNA
Source: RNAcentral